RNAcentral lists this ribosomal RNA (875 nucleotides) under uncultured organism. Its description in RNAcentral is "SSU rRNA". It matches the Rfam family "Bacterial small subunit ribosomal RNA", at positions 572 to 1461 of the family's 1533-position model. The record is from RNAcentral.
UAGAUGGAUGUUUAAGUCAGUUGUGAAAGUUUGCGGCUCAACCGUAAAAUUGCAGUUGAUACUGGAUAUCUUGAGUGCAGUUGAGGCAGGCGGAAUUCGUGGUGUAGCGGUGAAAUGCUUAGAUAUCACGAAGAACUCCGAUUGCGAAGGCAGCGUGAUAAGCUGCAACUGACAUUGAGGCUCGAAAGUGUGGGUAUCAAACAGGAUUAGAUACCCUGGUAGUCCACACGGUAAACGAUGAAUACUCGCUGUCUGCGAUAUACAGCAAGCGGCCAAGCGAAAGCGUUAAGUAUUCCACCUGGGGAGUACGCCGGCAACGGUGAAACUCAAAGGAAUUGACGGGGGCCCGCACAAGCGGAGGAACAUGUGGUUUAAUUCGAUGAUACGCGAGGAACCUUACCCGGGCUUAAAUUGCAGAUGAAUUACGGUGAAAGCCGUAAGCCGCAAGGCAUCUGUGAAGGUGCUGCAUGGUUGUCGUCAGCUCGUGCCGUGAGGUGUCGGCUUAAGUGCCAUAACGAGCGCAACCCUUGUUGUCAGUUAAUAACAGGUUCCGCUGAGGACUCUGACAAGACUGCCAUCGUAAGAUGUGAGGAAGGUGGGGAUGACGUCAAAUCAGCACGGCCCUUACGUCCGGGGCUACACACGUGUUACAAUGGGGGGUACAGAGGGCCGCUACCACGCGAGUGGAUGCCAAUCCCCAAAACCUCUAUCAGUUCGGACUGGAGUCUGCAACCCGACUCCACGAAGCUGGAUUCGUUAGUAAUCGCGCAUCAUCCACGGCGCGGUGAAUACGUUCCCGGGCCUUGUACACACCGCCCGUCAAGCCAUGGGAGCCGGGGGUACCUGAAGGGAGUAACCGCGAGGAGCGCCCUAGG